Molecule: long non-coding RNA, 951 nt
Organism: Brassica napus (rape)
Lineage: Eukaryota; Viridiplantae; Streptophyta; Magnoliopsida; Brassicales; Brassicaceae
Exons: 3
Source: RefSeq, a predicted model, not a curated record
GUCUUCUUCUUUCUCUGACUACAGCGGCGAGUACGACGAUCGAUUGUGCUCGGUUUCCUGUAACGGAUCGCGACGAUAAUGGCUGAAUACUGUAUAUCCUAAAUUUCUCACGCUCACAUACGUUAUCGUUUCUACUUCUCCAAUUAAACACAUUAACUGUUAGUCUUCCUCUAUCUAUACAUCUCACAGAUCUCCAAAUCUUUACUCAGACCCUCAAUAAUGGCUGGGUUUCAUAACCGCUUCAAACUUCUCACCUAUAUAUAGUUCAUGUCAUACAUCAGGGCCGUGCAUCUCAAAUCAAGUCACAUUUUUUAAACCCGCAUAGAUUUCAUCCAGUAGUCGAAAUGUCCUCUGGUGCUUCUGUUGCUCAACUCAACAUUUGAACCUCUCCGACUUGGCUGUAAAAACGGAUGAAAAGAUGGACAGAGCAUACCCGCGUGAUUUCAUGAAAGUUGGGAGAGUUGUAGUUCAUUUGAAAAGGGAGGAUGAGACUUUACUCAAUCCUGCCAUUACUUCAAGUAGGAAACUGUAUUAACCGAGACCAACCAUUCAAAGACCAUCGCAUCUGAGAGAUACUACAAAGUAGAUGUGUAGCUGUAACAGAAACAGGCGGCGACAUAACCAAAUGACAACACAAUCAUAGUUUCAGAUGAUCAAAUAGUAAACCAAAGGGAAAGACUUUUGUUUAACUCACCAACCAUGUAUAGCUUGGAGGAACUAUUGCAGCCUGCAAAAGACCAAUCAAAAAGGCAGAGAUUGUGACCAGCACGAUCCAGAUCUUUACCGUAUGCUUCGUUUGUCCUAUACAUAAAAGGUUAUGCAAAAGUGUUAAGUACAAGAUACAUGCAGAUAUGAUCAUGGGUUUUCGAGAAGUUGUUCAAGGAAUCACUUAUCAAGCCUUUAUAUGAACUAAUAAAUCAAUGAGAAUGUUAAAAUUUUCAUUUGCUGACA